UAAAGUUUGAGAACCACUGUUUUCAUACCAGGAAUGAUCAGUCACCAACUGAAUCAGAAUUUCUCACUCUUCCCCUUGCCUUUCAGUAAGGAUCGGCCAGAAGAACACAAGAAGGGAAGGGGGGUAUCUUCCCCUGCCAGACAGUUCUGGUGAGCCAGCCAGGAGUAGGCAUGCUGGCUGGAAAACUGCUUUCUCCUUGAGGCUGCUGCAGCUCAGAGAUCCUGGGACAUCGGACACAGAAGCUGGCAAAGAGAGAAUCUCAUCAUAAGUUGCUGUGGAGAAUCAAAUUGAAAGGAGGACACAAAAAGG
This 309-nucleotide long non-coding RNA is filed under the name Equus caballus (horse). RNAcentral describes it as "lncRNA (ENSECAG00000044317.1)". Lineage: Eukaryota; Metazoa; Chordata; Mammalia; Perissodactyla; Equidae. The record is from RNAcentral.